UACGGGGGGUGCGAGCGUUGUUCGGAAUCAUUGGGCGUAAAGAGCGCGCAGGCGGCUUGGUGAGUCAGAUGUGAAAGCCCUGGGCUUAACCCAGGAAGUGCAUUUGAUACUGCCUCGCUAGAGUACGGGAGAGGAAAGUGGAAUUCCUGGUGUAGAGGUGAAAUUCGUAGAUAUCAGGAGGAACACCGGUGGCGAAGGCGACUUUCUGGCCCGAUACUGACGCUCAGGCGCGAAAGCGUGGGGAGCAAACAGGAUUAGAUACCCUGGUAGUCCACGCCGUAAACGAUGUUCACUAGGUGUUGGGGGUAUUGACCCUCUCAGUGCCGUAGCUAACGCAUUAAGUGAACCGCCUGGGAAGUACGGUCGCAAGACUAAA
Molecule: ribosomal RNA, 376 nt
Filed under: uncultured bacterium
Lineage: Bacteria
Description: bacterial SSU rRNA
Rfam family: Bacterial small subunit ribosomal RNA
Source: RNAcentral